Long non-coding RNA from Saccostrea cuccullata (small rock oyster), 1204 nucleotides. RefSeq lists it as uncharacterized. The transcript is spliced from 3 exons. Lineage: Eukaryota; Metazoa; Mollusca; Bivalvia; Ostreida; Ostreidae. The record is from RefSeq and is a predicted model, not a curated record.
AGCGUAACAUCCGAGUGGUCAAUUUGACCUCUAACGAGACCAGCCUCGAGACCGUGCGAGAUCAGCACCAGUUCCUGUAAGAUUUAGACAGGAAGUAGAUGUGUGUUUUGGGAUUUAUGCAUUUAAUGUGUUUUUGACAAAGAAGCUGGUUUAAAACCUUUGUGGAGGUGGAUAUUGAAACUUCUUAAAACUCUUGAAGGAUGAGGAAAAGGAACCAUUGAAAUGGAACAUGUUGGACAGGGUUAUCAAGAUCAUGCAUUUAUAAAAGAUGACAGAAUAUCAGCACUGCCUUAAGAUUGGAGUUGGGACCUUGUAUUUUUUACACAGAAAAUAAAGAACAGUUGCUGAAUGAAACAGAGGCUAGCAGAAGCAAAUGUAAUAAGCCCAAAAUAAUGGUGAUCAAUUUUGAAUGAUUUUAUUCUCUGGUUGAAAUGAUACUGAUCCAAUUUUAGAAGUGGUUGACAAUGAAUACUAAGUAUUUUGUUGUAUAUAAGUAUAAUUGCUUAUUUCAAAACUGUAAAAAGCUUGCAAUGCUUAUGUCAAAUGUAAUGAUAUUAUGUAGGAAUCAAUUUUUUUAAGGAUAAAAGAUGUAAUUUUUUUUUCAAUCAGAAUUUCCUAAAAAGACUUUCUAAUGUAAAUACAUGUAUGGAUAAUAGAAGAUUAUAAUCUUUUCUUUUACUGUCAUUGAAAUACUGUAGUAAUGAACUGCAAUUUUACACCAAAAAUGUUUUAAAAUGAUUUUUUAUGAAAUUUCAAAUUUCAAGGUUUUAUGAAGUUUGAAUUGUGGCUCAUGUUGCUUUUUAUUGAACUAUCUCCCUUAACCUUAGAUUUGUAGUGCAUUCUAUGUAAUAAAUUUAAUUUUGGAACAUGGGAAAGGUCUUGUUUUUAACCCUGUUGAUUUUAAUUCAAGCAGAGUAAAUGGGUUUAAUACAUGUACAUCUAUAUUUCACAAAUGAAAUGGCUAUCUUUAAAAAAUAUAUACAUGUACAUGUAUAUCUGUACAAAUAAUUGAUCUUCCCAAAGAGUUAUUUCCCAUGUUCACAAUGUAAAAAAAAAUCUAAAUGAUAUAAUAUAUAUAUUAUGCAUGACUGAUUUACAAAAAUCAAAGAGAUAAAUCUGUAAAUUUUAUUUUAUAUGCUUUAGAAAUGUCCUCAUUUUGUCCAGUAUCUGCUUUUCUUACAAGUAUUAAUGAUGUUGAAAUAAA